RNAcentral lists this ribosomal RNA (253 nucleotides) under uncultured bacterium. RNAcentral's name for it is "partial 16S ribosomal RNA". It matches the Rfam family "Bacterial small subunit ribosomal RNA", at positions 524 to 776 of the family's 1533-position model. The record is from RNAcentral.
UACGUAGGUGGCAAGCGUUGUCCGGAUUUACUGGGUGUAAAGGGCGUGUAGCCGGGCUGACAAGUCAGAUGUGAAAUCCGGGGGCUCAACCCCCGAACUGCAUUUGAAACUGUUGGUCUUGAGUAUCGGAGAGGCAGGCGGAAUUCCUAGUGUAGCGGUGAAAUGCGUAGAUAUUAGGAGGAACACCUGUGGCGAAGGCGGCCUGCUGGACGACAACUGACGGUGAGGCGCGAAAGCGUGGGGAGCAAACAGG